CAAUUUGGACUACAAAAACACAAACCAAGCUUCUUCAUGAUUCUCAAAGCUUUGAUGGUGAACCCAAAGUUCUUAACAGUUUUUGGUUUUGAAUCGUAUAACAAGGAAGUACUACUUUACUCUUCGGGAUCUCGUUGAGGUUCUUGUUUUAUAUUCAAUCAUACACAUGACAUCUACUCAUAUUUCACUCCAAAAUGCUAACCCAGAUUCUUCUUGCUCUUCAAAGCUUUGAUGGUGUAGCCUAAGUCUGUAUGAUUUUUGGUUUUGGAUCUUCUAACAGGAAAAGAUAAAUUUAGGUUCAUAGCCCUGGUUGUGGUUUUAGCCCU
This 326-nucleotide small RNA is filed under the name Arabidopsis thaliana (thale cress). RNAcentral's name for it is "ATSL037490". The record is from RNAcentral. Lineage: Eukaryota; Viridiplantae; Streptophyta; Magnoliopsida; Brassicales; Brassicaceae.